GUCCUAUCCUGACUCCAGCCAUUUCUCGAAGACACUCACUUUUUUCCGGAUACACUCUUCGGCUACCGUCCCGGUAUUUCUACACAGGGCGUUUUACUACAGCUUAAGGAGGACGUGUUGGAUAGCCCCACUUCAAACCAGGUCCGGGCAAUUCUGGCCCUGCAUCUCGAGGGCACUUUUGACAACGUCUCCCACGACCUAAUUCUUGGCAAUCUCGCUUCCUCCCAGUGCUGCGCACGUCACUCAUAGUUAGUCGGCUCACCUAUCACCUUCCCUAUCAUAAUCUCACACUUGCUCAAA
Molecule: long non-coding RNA, 300 nt
Organism: Rhipicephalus sanguineus (brown dog tick)
Lineage: Eukaryota; Metazoa; Arthropoda; Arachnida; Ixodida; Ixodidae
Exons: 2
Source: RefSeq, a predicted model, not a curated record